AUUGAACGCUGGCGGCAGGCCUAACACAUGCAAGUCGAGCGAGUGGCGGACGGGUGAGUAAUGUAUGGGGAACUGCCCGAUAGAGGGGGAUAACUACUGGAAACGGUAGCUAAUACCGCAUACCAUCGGAUGUACCCAUAUGGGAUUAGCUAGUAGGUGGGGUAAAGGCUCACCUAGGCGACGAUCCCUAGCUGGUCUGAGAGGAUGACCAGCCACAAUGGAACUGAGACACGGCCCAGACUCCGACGGGAGGCAGCAGUGGGGAAUAGUGCACAAUGGGCGCAAGCUUGAUGCAGCCAUGCCGCGUGUAUGAAGAAGGACUUAGGGUUGUAAAGUACUUUCAGCGGGGAGGCGUUACCCGCAGAAGAAGCACCGGCUAACUCCGUGCCAGCAGCCGCGGUAAUAC
RNAcentral lists this ribosomal RNA (406 nucleotides) under uncultured bacterium. RNAcentral's name for it is "partial 16S ribosomal RNA". It matches the Rfam family "Bacterial small subunit ribosomal RNA", at positions 30 to 526 of the family's 1533-position model. The record is from RNAcentral.